GCACGUCCUGUCCCACAACUUCGCUCCUGUUGAUGAGCUUCCUCCUACACCCUGUGAAGUUAUACAAGGAUCCCUCCCGCCUUGCCUUGACGGUGCAUACAUUCGUAAUGGCCCCAACCCUCAGUUCCUCCCUCGUGGACCUUACCACCUGUUCGAUGGUGAUGGUAUGCUUCACUCCAUUCGAAUCUCCAAGGGCAAGGCCACCUUGUGUAGCAGAUAUGUAAAGACGUACAAGUACUCCAUUGAAAACCAAAUGGGUUCUCCCGUUUUCCCCAAUGUUUUCUCCGGCUUUAACGGCCUAACCGCCGCUGCCACUCGCGGUGCUCUCUCCGCUGUCAGAAUUCUAUCCGGUG
This 353-nucleotide long non-coding RNA is filed under the name Gossypium barbadense (sea-island cotton). RNAcentral describes it as "long non-coding RNA (GBAR_LNC011936)". The record is from RNAcentral. Lineage: Eukaryota; Viridiplantae; Streptophyta; Magnoliopsida; Malvales; Malvaceae.